UGGGGAAUUUUGGACAAUGGGCGCAAGCCUGAUCCAGCAAUGCCGCGUGUGUGAAGAAGGCCUUCGGGUUGUAAAGCACUUUUGUCCGGAAAGAAAACCUCGUGGUUAAUACCCGUGGGGGAUGACGGUACCGGAAGAAUAAGCACCGGCUAACUACGUGCCAGCAGCCGCGGUAAUACGUAGGGUGCAAGCGUUAAUCGGAAUUACUUGGCGUAAAGCGUGCGCAGGCGGUUCGCUAAGACAGAUGUGAAAUCCCCGGGCUUAACCUGGGAACUGCAUUUGUGACUGGCGGGCUAGAGUAUGGCAGAGGGGGGUAGAAUUCCACGUGUAGCAGUGAAAUGCGUAGAGAUGUGGAGGAAUACCGAUGGCGAAGGCAGCCCCCUGGGCCAAUACUGACGCUCAUGCACGAAAGCGUGGGGAGCAAACAGG
This 429-nucleotide ribosomal RNA is filed under the name Bacillota bacterium. RNAcentral describes it as "Firmicutes bacterium partial 16S ribosomal RNA". It matches the Rfam family "Bacterial small subunit ribosomal RNA", at positions 355 to 776 of the family's 1533-position model. Lineage: Bacteria; Bacillati; Bacillota. The record is from RNAcentral.